This 406-nucleotide ribosomal RNA is filed under the name uncultured bacterium. RNAcentral's name for it is "partial 16S ribosomal RNA". It matches the Rfam family "Bacterial small subunit ribosomal RNA", at positions 30 to 526 of the family's 1533-position model. The record is from RNAcentral.
AUUGAACGCUGGCGGCAGGCUUAACACAUGCAAGUCGAGCGAGCGGCGGACGGGUGAGUAAUGUCUGGGAAACUGCCUGAUGGAGGGGGAUAACUACUGGAAACGGUAGCUAAUACCGCAUACUGUCAGAUGUUCCCAGAUUGGAUUAGCUAGUAGGUGGGGUAAUGGCUCACCUAGGCGGCGCUUCCUAGCUGGUCUGAGAGGAUGACACGCCAAACUGGGACUGAGAAAAGGUCCAGACUCCUACGGGAGGCAGCAGUGGGGAAUAUUGCACAAUGGGGGGAAGCCUGAUGCAGCCAUGGCGCGUGUGUGAAGAAGGCCUUCGGGUUGUAAAGCACUUUCAGCGAGGAGGCGUUACUCGCAGAAGAAGGAACGGCUAAAUCCGUGCCAGCAGCCGCGGUAAUUC